Molecule: non-coding RNA, 407 nt
Organism: Manis javanica (Malayan pangolin)
Lineage: Eukaryota; Metazoa; Chordata; Mammalia; Pholidota; Manidae
Source: RefSeq, a predicted model, not a curated record
GAAGAGCCCUUUAUGGUUUCCAGAUCACAGCGGAGGAAACUGAAGUCCAGAGAAGUUAGCCCCUGGGUAGCAAGAGCAUCUGGGAACUGAGAGCCAGAUAAUGGCUUGAGGACUUCCUCCCUCCCUUCCCUGGACCCAAUCCAGGUUUUGCUGGAUGGUAAAGCAAUAUGGCCUCUGAAUCUUCGAGCUUGAAGAUGUUCCGCCUGGGCCUGCGCUUCAGGCCCCAGUUCCGGCUCUGAGUCUGGAGAGAAAUGGCACUGCCCCCUGCAGGCAGCUGUAACCAGGGCCGCUGCGCUCUGGCCGUGCCCUGGAUGGUGCAAUUCAAAGCUGAGCAGGAGAGAAUGACGUCUGGAGGAGGAGGGAAGCAGAGUUAAAGAAGAGGUCCACACGCGCCUUGCUGCGCAAUC